GUAUAAACCUAAAAUAAAGGUGUCAUGUAUUGACUUAAAAGGGAAUUUGGUAAUCAAACCAAAACUGUACCCGCAACUGUGAUUGCUGAUGAAAUAAGCACAUCCACUGUAUGAACGAAAAGGCUUACAUAAGCUUAUUAUACGGGAAGGGCUUAGAGUAGAGAGACGCAAAAGUCAGGAGACCUGCCUUUUAUUGAGACGUUUU
RNAcentral lists this non-coding RNA (205 nucleotides) under Priestia endophytica. Lineage: Bacteria; Bacillati; Bacillota; Bacilli; Caryophanales; Bacillaceae. The record is from RNAcentral.